GUGGGGAAUAUUGGACAAUGGGCGAAAGCCUGAUCCAGCCAUGCCGCGUGUGUGAAGAAGGUCUUCGGAUUGUAAAGCACUUUAAGUUGGGAGGAAGGGCAGUAAGUUAAUACCUUGCUGUUUUGACGUUACCGACAGAAUAAGCACCGGCUAACUUCGUGCCAGCAGCCGCGGUAAUACGAAGGGUGCAAGCGUUAAUCGGAAUAACUGGGCGUAAAGCGCGCGUAGGUGGUUUUGUAAGUUGGAGGUGAAAUCCCCGGGCUCAACCUGGGAACUGCCUCCAAAACUGCAUGACUAGAGUACGGUAGAGGGUAGUGGAAUUUCCUGUGUAGCGGUGAAAUGCGUAGAUAUAGGAAGGAACACCAGUGGCGAAGGCGACUACCUGGACUGAUACUGACACUGAGGUGCGAAAGCGUGGGGAGCAAACAGGAUUAGAUACCCGAGUAGUCC
This 450-nucleotide ribosomal RNA is filed under the name uncultured bacterium. RNAcentral's name for it is "partial 16S ribosomal RNA". It matches the Rfam family "Bacterial small subunit ribosomal RNA", at positions 354 to 796 of the family's 1533-position model. The record is from RNAcentral.